CAUGUCUUUUUGAUUAUAAUUUAAAGUCUAAUCUGCACAAUGAAAUUUAAAUUGCCGCAGUAUUUUGACUGUGCAAAGGUAGCAUAAUAAUUAGUUUCUUGAUUAGGAACUGGAAUGAAUGAUUGGACGAGAAAAUUUCUGUCUCUUGUUAAAGAAUUUUUUAAUUUUAUUUUUAAGUUAAAAAGCUUAAAUGUUUAUAAAAGACGAGAAGACCCUAUAGAGUUUUAUAUUUGUUAUAAAUUAAAUAAUAGGAAGGUUUUUUUAUAAGAAGUAUUUGGUUGGGGUGAUUUAAAGAUUUAUAAAAUUCUUUAAAAUUUUAAUUGAUGAUGUUUAAUUUCUUUAUCUAAAUUUUUUAAAUUUAAAAUUAAUUACCUUAGGGAUAACAGCGUAAUUUUUCUUUAAAGCUCUUAUUAAAAGAAAGUUUUGCGACCUCGAUGUUGGAUUAAAAUAAAUUUUUGGUGCAGUAACUUAAAAAUUAGGUCUGUUCGACCUUUAAUAUUUUACAUGAUCUGAGUUUAAACCGGUGUAAGCCAGGUUGGAUUCUAUCUUUAGAUUUAUUGUAUAUUUUAGUACGAAAGGACCAAAUAUAUAUUAUAUAUUAAUUG
This 605-nucleotide ribosomal RNA is filed under the name Plateros sp. UPOL A00490. RNAcentral describes it as "partial 16S ribosomal RNA". The stretch from base 379 to 537 matches the Rfam family "Bacterial large subunit ribosomal RNA", at positions 2473 to 2632 of the family's 2925-position model. The record is from RNAcentral. Lineage: Eukaryota; Metazoa; Arthropoda; Insecta; Coleoptera; Lycidae.